RNAcentral lists this long non-coding RNA (1429 nucleotides) under Marmota monax (woodchuck). The record is from RNAcentral. Lineage: Eukaryota; Metazoa; Chordata; Mammalia; Rodentia; Sciuridae.
CAGCACCUCUCCAUGUUCAAAACACUAGAAAACUAAGGAUAGUAGGAAUAUACCUCAACAUUGUACAAGCUGUCUAUACUAAGCCUAAGGCCAACAUCAUUCUAAAUGGAGAAAAAUUGAAAGCAUCCCCUCUAAAAACUGGAAGAAGACAAGAAUGCCCUCUUAGGCCACUUCUAUUCAACAUCAUUCUUGAAACUCUAGCCAGAGCAAUUAGGAGGAAGAAAUUAAAGGGAUACGAAUAGGAAAAGAAUAAAUUCAAACUAUUACUAUUUGCCCACGAGAUGAUUCUAUAUUUAGAAUAUCAAACAAAUUCCACCAGAAAACUUCUAGAACUAAUAAAUGAAUUCAUAAAAGUAGCAGGAUGUAAAAUCAAUAUCCAUAAAUCAAAUGCAUUUUUAUAUAUAAGCGAUGAAGCCACUGCCAGAGAAAUUAGGAAAAAUACCCAUUCACAAUAACCUCAAAAAAAUAUUUGGGAAUCAAUCUAACAAAAGAGGUGAAAGACCUCUACAAUGAAAACUAAAGAAAGAAAUUGAAGAAGACCUUAGAAAAUGGAAUGAUCUCCCAUGCUCUUGGAUGGUCAGAGUUAAUAUUGUCAAAAUGGCCAUACUACCAAAACUGUUGUACAGAUUUAAUGCAAUUCCUAUUAAAAUCAUAAUGACUGGGCUAGGGUUAUGGCUCAGUGGUAAAGCGAUUGUCUAGAAUGCAUGAGGCACUGGGUUUGAUCCUGGCACCACAUAAAAAUAAAACAAAGUAUUGUGUUCAUCUACAACUAAAAAAAAUUAAAUUCCAAUGAUAUUCUUCAUGGAACUAGAAAAAGCAAUCAUGAAAUUCCUUUGAAAAAAUAAGAGACCCAGAAUAGCCAAAGCAAUCUUUAGCAAGAAAAAUGAAGCAGGAGACAUCACAAUACCAGAACUUAAAACUAUACUUCAGAGCCAUAAUAACAAAAAUAGCAUGGUAUUGGCACCAACACAGAUACAUUGACCAAUGGUACAGAAUAGAAGACCCAGAGAAAAACCCACAUAAAUACAGUUAUCUCAUACUAGACAAAGGUGCCAAAAACCUAUAUGGGAUAUGGGGUUAAAGGUACAUUCAUACAUUAUUGAUGGUACUGUAAAUUGGUGUAAUCACUAUGGAAAGCAGUAUGGAGAUUCCUCAGAAUACUUGGAAUGGAACCACCAUUUGACCCAGCUAUUCCAGUCCUCAGUUUAUACCCACAGGACUUAAAAUUAGCAUACUACAGUGAUGCAGCCACAUCAAUGUUUAUAGCAGCUCAAUUCACAAUAGCUAAACUGUGGAACCAACCUAGAUGCCUUUCAACAGACGAAUGGAUAAAGAAAAUGUGAUAUACACAAUGAAAUAUUACUCAGCCAUAAAGAAGAAUGAAAUUAAGGCAUUUACAGGUAAAUGGAUGGAACAUACUAAGUGAAAU